GAUUAUCAAUAAUCCUAGAAUUGAUUCUUCUUGGGUCGAUGCCCGAGCGGCUAAUGGGGACGGACUGUAAAUUCGUUAGCAAUAUGUCUACGCUGGUUCAAAUCCAGCUCGGCCCAAUAAUUCGCUGAUCCAACAUGAAAUACUAUAACCCAUUUGUUCGUUAGAAAUGUCGGAUACAGAAGAAUAACGAAAGUCAGAUUUUCUGAUAUAUACCUACCCCCAUUUAUUUGUAUUUGCUUUACCUACAAAUUCUGAUCUUGCUAAUGAUCUAGAUUCAUAUCAGGAUCUGUAAGUAUAAAGUCUAAGGAAAGGAAAAGAGUAAAGAAAAAAAAAUACUUUUUUCAUUGAAAAAUGGAUGUACCUCCACAGAUGUAGCUAACAGGUUCGGGUUGCAGAUCCAUUUUGGAAGCAGAGCUGCUGCUAUGCAAGGCGGCGUUAGGGUUCUGGAGCUGCUGCUAUGCAAGGCGGCAUUAGGGUUCUCCUUCAGUAAAAGCGGUCAACAUUGAAAUGAGAGGCGCAGAUCUUUCUGGAGAUAUGUAUUCUGGUCCCGGCUGGACCGGAGCAGGGAUUGAAAAAUCGGAAAAUGUCGCCGAUAUUUCGAAGAAAUAUCGGAUAUCGGAAGGCGCUGAAACGAUAAUCGUCACCGAUUAUCGAUCGACGGAAAAAUCGACAAAAAAUCGGCAAAAUCGCCGAUAUAUCGGCGAAAUAUCGGCGAAAUACCGAUUUAUCGGAAAAUUUCCCGAUAUUUUCCUACCAGUCCAGCCCGCGCACAGGAUACAAAAUCUGGCUCAAAAAUCGUGGAUUUAGGGUUCGUGAAAUUUAAAUCCAAUGGCACAACAACAAAGAGACCCUUAAAACAGAUCCAGAAAACACAGGGAGCAAAAGAAAAGCAAAUUUUUUGGUUUUCUUUGGGGGUUUUGAAUGGAUUUUCUCGGAAAUCAAACGAGAAUGAAUUUUCCCGGAAAUCAAAUGGGGGAUGGAUUUUCUUGGGAAUCAAACGGGGGUUGCAAAAAAAAUAAUAUCAACGUGAUUAGAUUAGUACCUGCGAGGAUUGAGAGUGGCAGAGGAAGAUAGGUCUUUUUAGGAAGAGGAACUCUCUUGGCUGGAGGGCAGCUUCAGCGGCUGGAGGGCAGCUUCAGAAAAGGGGAAAGGGAAAUUCUCUCGGCUGGAGGGCAACUUCAGAAGUGGGUGGCCCUUUUAAUUUUUAGAUUUAGUAGAGGUAAAAAAAAAAAAAAAAAAC
This 1240-nucleotide long non-coding RNA is filed under the name Vitis vinifera (wine grape). RNAcentral's name for it is "long non-coding RNA (VVIN_LNC001035)". The stretch from base 33 to 116 matches the Rfam family "tRNA". The record is from RNAcentral. Lineage: Eukaryota; Viridiplantae; Streptophyta; Magnoliopsida; Vitales; Vitaceae.